This 233-nucleotide unclassified non-coding RNA is filed under the name Funneliformis mosseae. RNAcentral's name for it is "partial contains 5.8S ribosomal RNA and internal transcribed spacer 2". The stretch from base 1 to 71 matches the Rfam family "5.8S ribosomal RNA", at positions 84 to 154 of the family's 154-position model. The record is from RNAcentral. Lineage: Eukaryota; Fungi; Glomeromycota; Glomeromycetes; Glomerales; Glomeraceae.
GUGAAUCAUCGAAUCUUUGAACGCAAAUUGCACUCCCUGGUAUUCCGGGGAGUAUGCCUGUUUGAGGGUCGUUAGAACAAAAAUCGAAGCGUCUCUCUUUUUUUUAAGGGUGAUCGCGUCGGAAUUGAGCCGUCUUUCAAAUGUUAAUUCAUGUCAAAGUGGCUUAAAAUUCAUCCAUCCGAUACGCAUAAAGCAUAUUUAUGAUCAACUUUGAUUAUGUACUCGCGAUGACG